UACGUAGGGUGCGAGCGUUGUCCGGAAUUACUGGGCGUAAAGGGCUCGUAGGCGGUUUGUCGCGUCGGGAGUGAAAACACUGGGCUUAACUCAGUGCUUGCUUCCGAUACGGGCAGACUAGAGGUAUGCAGGGGAGAACGGAAUUCCUGGUGUAGCGGUGAAAUGCGCAGAUAUCAGGAGGAACACCGGUGGCGAAGGCGGGUCUCUGGGCCGAUACUGACGCUGAGGAGCGAAAGCGUGGGGAGCGAACAGG
Molecule: ribosomal RNA, 253 nt
Filed under: uncultured bacterium
Lineage: Bacteria
Description: partial 16S ribosomal RNA
Rfam family: Bacterial small subunit ribosomal RNA
Source: RNAcentral